This 395-nucleotide ribosomal RNA is filed under the name uncultured bacterium. RNAcentral's name for it is "bacterial SSU rRNA". It matches the Rfam family "Bacterial small subunit ribosomal RNA", at positions 505 to 898 of the family's 1533-position model. The record is from RNAcentral.
GUGUCAGCAGCCGCGGUAAUACGUAGGGGGCGAGCGUUGUUCGGAAUCACUGGGCGUAAAGAGCACGUAGGUGGGUUGGCAAGUCAUGGGGUAAAUCUUUCGGCUCAACUGGAAGACUUCUCGUGAAACUACCAAUCUUGAAUAUGGGAGAGGAAGGUGGAAUUCCGCAAGUAGCGGUGAAAUGCGUAGAUAUGCGGGAGAACACCCGUGGCGAAGGCGGCCUUCUGGCCCGAUAUUGACACUGAGGUGCGAAAGCGUGGGGAGCGAACGGGAUUAGAUACCCCGGUAGUCCACGCCCUAAACGAUGGGAACUAGGUGUAGGGGGUAUCGACCCCCUCUGUGCCGCAGCUAACGCAUUAAGUUCCCUGCCUGGGGAGUACGGUCGCAAGAUUAAA